AGCUAUUUUUGGGCCGGCUAAUGUUGUGGUAAUGUUAUUUCAACCUGCUAGCUAGCAGAUAGAUGAUGCUAAUCUUAGCUGUGGUAAUGUCAUUUCUACCUGCUAGCGAGCUAAAUCUGGUUAAAACAUUAGGUAACAAAGUAAGAUUAAUUACUGCAGAUUAAUCACUGUAUUUGAGUGAUUGUUAAUGGUUAGUGGUUAUCUUUCAAAUGAUGCCUGUGAGGCACUUGACGUUGAGACUGGUUGACUUCCAGGCUGCUUUGGAAUAAGGAUACCUCUGAGGCAGCCACCAGUUUUUGGAUAACUCUGAGGCAUCAUAGGUAGUGUUGACUACUUUAUAUCAAUAAAUAACUACUUUAAAGACUACUUUAUAUCAAUAAAGAACUUCAGAAAGCCAGCUCCAAACUAUUACACCCCAGUGUCAAUAAGUGUUUCAUUGUCACAUUGGUAUGUGCAUCAAAUCUGAAUUUAAUACUGUGUUCGUGUCAUGAUAUGUCUUUCCCAUUUUUGUUAAGGCGAAGCCAAGGACCUGUGCUCCUCCGUCGGUGCUCUGGCUGCCAGGAGCAUCGAAUUUAAAGAAGUGGCCAUGCUGCCGGCAUCAGACCCCACUGUGGCCACAGGGAGAGCCACGGAGUUCAAACAACAGCUCCAGCACCUCGCCAACCAGGUGAGGUCAAAUGAGCAAUUUGACCUCCUCACGCACACCUUGGGGCCAGGAAUGGUAGAGGUGGUGGUGGAUAUUUUUUAAAAGUGUG
Molecule: long non-coding RNA, 755 nt
Organism: Pseudoliparis swirei
Lineage: Eukaryota; Metazoa; Chordata; Actinopteri; Perciformes; Liparidae
Exons: 3
Source: RefSeq, a predicted model, not a curated record